RNAcentral lists this ribosomal RNA (446 nucleotides) under uncultured bacterium. RNAcentral's name for it is "partial 16S ribosomal RNA". It matches the Rfam family "Bacterial small subunit ribosomal RNA", at positions 338 to 795 of the family's 1533-position model. The record is from RNAcentral.
CCUACGGGGUGCAGCAGUCGAGAAUCAUUCACAAUGGGGGAAACCCUGAUGGUGCGACGCCGCGUGGGGGAAUGAAGUUCUUCGGAUUGUAAACCCCUGUCAUGUGGGAGCAAAUUAAAAAGAUCGUACCACAAGAGGAAGAGACGGCUAACUCUGUGCCAGCAGCCGCGGUAAUACAGAGGUCUCAAGCGUUGUUCGGAAUCACUGGGCGUAAAGCGUGCGUAGGCUGUUUCGUAAGUCGUGUGUGAAAGGCGCGGGCUCAACCCGCGGACGGCACAUGAUACUGCGAGACUAGAGUAAGGGAGGGGGAACCGGAAUUCUCGGUGUAGGAGUGAAAUGCGUAGAUAUCGAGAGGAACACUCGUGGCGAAGGCGGGUUCCUGGACAUUAACUGACGCUGAGGCACGAAGGCCAGGGGAGCGAAAGGGAUUAGAUACCCCUGUAGUC